GAUGAACGCUAGCGGCAGGCUUAAUACAUGCAAGUCGAGGGGCAGCAUGGGUAGCAAUACCUGAUGGCGACCGGCAAACGGGUGCGGAACACGUACGCAACCUUCCCAUAACUGGUGAAUAGCCCUCCGAAAGGAGGAUUAAUACACCGUAACAUAAUAGAGUGGCAUCACUUUAUUAUUAUAGGCUUCGGCCGGUUUUGGAUGGGCGUGCGCCUGAUUAGGUAAUUGGCGGGGUAACGGCCCACCAAGCCUACGAUCAGUAACUGGUGUGAGAGCACGACCAGUCACACGGGCACUGAGACACGGGCCCGACUCCUACGGGAGGCAGCAGUAAGGAAUAUUGGUCAAUGGACGAAAGUCUGAACCAGCCAUGCCGCGUGGAGGAUGAAGGCCCUCUGGGGUUGUAAACUUCUUUUAUCUGGGACGAAAAAAGGGUAUUCUUACUCACUUGACGGUACCAGAGGAAUAAGCACCGGCUAACUCCGUGCCAGCAGCCGCGGUAAAGU
RNAcentral lists this ribosomal RNA (506 nucleotides) under uncultured bacterium. RNAcentral describes it as "bacterial SSU rRNA". It matches the Rfam family "Bacterial small subunit ribosomal RNA", at positions 28 to 526 of the family's 1533-position model. The record is from RNAcentral.